Molecule: long non-coding RNA, 764 nt
Organism: Oncorhynchus keta (chum salmon)
Lineage: Eukaryota; Metazoa; Chordata; Actinopteri; Salmoniformes; Salmonidae
Exons: 3
Source: RefSeq, a predicted model, not a curated record
UGUAGCUGUUAACAUGGUGGUGGUGAACUAUCCUAUGGAAGUGUCUGGUUAUUUAAAAAAAAGGUAUGUUUCGCAAGCUCUGUAGUUUUAGCUCGCUCAACAAUCUGAAGCCUUACCACUGGGAAAGGUUAGGCUGAGCUAGCUUUAGUACUACCACUGGGAUAGGUUAGGCUGAGCUAGCUUUAGUGCUACCACUGGGAUAGGUUAGGCUGAGCUAGCUUUAGUGCUACCACUGGGAUAGGUUAGGCUGAGCUAGCUUUAGUGCUACCACUGGGAUAGGUUAGGCUGAGCUAGCUUUAGUACUACCACUGGGAUAGGUUAGGCUGAGCUAGCUUUAGUACUACCACUGGGAUAGGUUAGGCUGAGCUAGCUUUAGUACUACCACUGGGAUAGGUUAGGCUGAGCUAGCUUUAGUGCUACCACUGGGAUAGGUUAGGCUGAGCUAGCUUUAGUGCUACCACUGGGAUAGGUUAGGCUGAGCUAGCUUUAGUGCUACCACUGGGAUAGGUUAGGCUGAGCUAGCUUAAGUCCUACCACUGGGAUAGGUUAGGCUGAGCUAGCUUUAGUGCUACCACUGAGAUAGGUUAGGCUGAGCUAGCUUUAGUGCUACCACUGGGAUAGGUUAGGCUGAGCUAGCUUUAGUGCUACCACUGGGAUAGGUUAGGCUGAGCUAGCUUUAGUGCUACCACUGGGAUAGGUUAGGCUGAGCUAGCUUUAGUGCUACCACUGGGAUAGGUUAGGCUGAGCUAGCUUUAGUGCUACCA